CGUCUGAGCUUCAACAGUAAGCGGCCUCCUUCCGAACUCCUACAAGAAUCGGAUUCUGUCCGAACUUCUAUAAUAGAAUUGAAUUCUAGACUCCUCUAGCGGUCAACCUUCCACAGUGUUCUCAAGACUCAUCCAGUGGACAAACUUCCACAACGUCUUUCGAACUCCACUAUCGAUCGACCUUCUGCUGGAUUCCUCGUGAAACCAGACUUCUCCAACAGGAAGUUUCCAUCCGAGCUUCUACAGCAGAUGACUUCCAUCUGCAGCACCAACAGCACC
RNAcentral lists this long non-coding RNA (279 nucleotides) under Elaeis guineensis (African oil palm). Its description in RNAcentral is "long non-coding RNA (EGUI_LNC071440)". Lineage: Eukaryota; Viridiplantae; Streptophyta; Magnoliopsida; Arecales; Arecaceae. The record is from RNAcentral.